This 812-nucleotide ribosomal RNA is filed under the name Microbacterium sp. Its description in RNAcentral is "bacterial SSU rRNA". It matches the Rfam family "Bacterial small subunit ribosomal RNA", at positions 37 to 859 of the family's 1533-position model. Lineage: Bacteria; Bacillati; Actinomycetota; Actinomycetes; Micrococcales; Microbacteriaceae. The record is from RNAcentral.
UGGCGGCGUGCUUAACACAUGCAAGUCGAACGAUGAAGCCCAGCUUGCUGGGUGGAUUAGUGGCGAACGGGUGAGUAACACGUGAGCAACCUGCCCCUGACUCUGGGAUAAGCGCUGGAAACGGCGUCUAAUACUGGAUACGAGUAGCGAUCGCAUGGUCAGUUACUGGAAAGAUUUUUUGGUUGGGGAUGGGCUCGCGGCCUAUCAGCUUGUUGGUGAGGUAAUGGCUCACCAAGGCGUCGACGGGUAGCCGGCCUGAGAGGGUGACCGGCCACACUGGGACUGAGACACGGCCCAGACUCCUACGGGAGGCAGCAGUGGGGAAUAUUGCACAAUGGGCGGAAGCCUGAUGCAGCAACGCCGCGUGAGGGAUGACGGCCUUCGGGUUGUAAACCUCUUUUAGCAGGGAAGAAGCGAGAGUGACGGUACCUGCAGAAAAAGCGCCGGCUAACUACGUGCCAGCAGCCGCGGUAAUACGUAGGGCGCAAGCGUUAUCCGGAAUUAUUGGGCGUAAAGAGCUCGUAGGCGGUUUGUCGCGUCUGCUGUGAAAUCCCGAGGCUCAACCUCGGGCCUGCAGUGGGUACGGGCAGACUAGAGUGCGGUAGGGGAGAUUGGAAUUCCUGGUGUAGCGGUGGAAUGCGCAGAUAUCAGGAGGAACACCGAUGGCGAAGGCAGAUCUCUGGGCCGUAACUGACGCUGAGGAGCGAAAGGGUGGGGAGCAAACAGGCUUAGAUACCCUGGUAGUCCACCCCGUAAACGUUGGGAACUAGUUGUGGGGUCCAUUCCACGGAUUCCGUGACGCAGCUAACGCA